UGCACCCUACGGGAGGCAGCAGUAGGGAAUCCUCCACAAUGGACGAAAGUCUGAUGGAGCAACGCCGCGUGAGUGAAGAAGGGUUUCGGCUCGUAAAGCUCUGUUGGUAGUGGAGAAAGAUAGAGGUAGUAACUGGCCUUUAUUUGACGGUAAUUACUUAGAAAGUCACGGCUAACUACGUGCCAGCAGCCGCGGUAAUACGUAGGUGGCAAACGUUGUCCGGAUUUAUUGGGCGUAAA
This 239-nucleotide ribosomal RNA is filed under the name uncultured bacterium. Its description in RNAcentral is "partial 16S ribosomal RNA". It matches the Rfam family "Bacterial small subunit ribosomal RNA", at positions 332 to 564 of the family's 1533-position model. The record is from RNAcentral.